GGCUCAGGACGAACGCUGGCGGCGUGCUUAACACAUGCAAGUCGAACGAUGAACCACUUCGGUGGGGAUUAGUGGCGAACGGGUGAGUAACACGUGGGCAAUCUGCCCUGCACUCUGGGACAAGCCCUGGAAACGGGGUCUAAUACCGGAUACUGACCUUCACGGGCAUCUGUGAGGGUCGAAAGCUCCGGCGGUGCAGGAUGAGCCCGCGGCCUAUCAGCUUGUUGGUGAGGUAACGGCUCACCAAGGCGACGACGGGUAGCCGGCCUGAGAGGGCGACCGGCCACACUGGGACUGAGACACGGCCCAGACUCCUACGGGAGGCAGCAGUGGGGAAUAUUGCACAAUGGGCGAAAGCCUGAUGCAGCGACGCCGCGUGAGGGAUGACGGCCUUCGGGUUGUAAACCUCUUUCAGCAGGGAAGAAGCGAAAGUGACGGUACCUGCAGAAGAAGCGCCGGCUAACUACGUGCCAGCAGCCGCGGUAAUACGUAGGGCGCAAGCGUUGUCCGGAAUUAUUGGGCGUAAAGAGCUCGUAGGCGGCUUGUCACGUCGGUUGUGAAAGCCCGGGGCUUAACCCCGGGUCUGCAGUCGAUACGGGCAGGCUAGAGUUCGGUAGGGGAGAUCGGAAUUCCUGGUGUAGCGGUGAAAUGCGCAGAUAUCAGGAGGAACACCGGUGGCGAAGGCGGAUCUCUGGGCCGAUACUGACGCUGAGGAGCGAAAGCGUGGGGAGCGAACAGGAUUAGAUACCCUGGUAGUCCACGCCGUAAACGGUGGGCACUAGGUGUGGGCAACAUUCCACGUUGUCCGUGCCGCAGCUAACGCAUUAAGUGCCCCGCC
RNAcentral lists this ribosomal RNA (838 nucleotides) under Streptomyces sp. RKEM 1715. RNAcentral describes it as "bacterial SSU rRNA". It matches the Rfam family "Bacterial small subunit ribosomal RNA", at positions 21 to 873 of the family's 1533-position model. Lineage: Bacteria; Bacillati; Actinomycetota; Actinomycetes; Kitasatosporales; Streptomycetaceae. The record is from RNAcentral.